RNAcentral lists this ribosomal RNA (195 nucleotides) under Triticum aestivum (bread wheat). Its description in RNAcentral is "partial small subunit ribosomal RNA". The record is from RNAcentral. Lineage: Eukaryota; Viridiplantae; Streptophyta; Magnoliopsida; Poales; Poaceae.
GCAGGCCGUCGCGUUCUCGUACGUUGCGUGCUAUCUGCCAUGCCAACCUUCGCGUUCACGGUGCUGCGAAUACCAAAGAAGUUCAUAAAGGAGAUCGACAAGUCAAGACGGCGCUUCCUCUGGGCGGGAGACGAAGAAAUCUCGGGCGGCAAAUGCAAGGUUCGCUGGGCAACUGGGCGGACUGGGCAUCCCUGA